This 95-nucleotide ribosomal RNA is filed under the name uncultured Florenciella. RNAcentral's name for it is "partial Trypanosomatid mitochondrial large subunit ribosomal RNA". The record is from RNAcentral. Lineage: Eukaryota; Dictyochophyceae; Florenciellales.
UCUAGGGUUCAACUUCAAAGUAUAAAAUUAAAAUUAAAAAUUAAAUUAUAUUUAUAAAUUAUAACUAAAAAAUAGAUUAAGACUUAGAACAGGGG